UAUGCUUAUAUAUUAAGAUUUUACUCAUAUAUAUUAGGUAUGCUUAGUGAAUAAAGUUAUUGAAGGAACAAUAAUGGUAAACACCUUCAACUGUGUAGCAAGGUAAUGAGGUUUGUUUUUGCUUAUUAAGGGAAAGAGAGAGAAAAUUUGUUUUCACAUUAAGUGUGAAGUCAACCCAGAUGUGCAAGAGCAUAGAGAAGGGCAAAAGUCUAGUGUGUAGAUGUUGGAGAAGUAAAAAUCUUGCCAACAAAGAGAGACCUCUCCAGAACCACUACGGAAAGAUACCUGAUUUAUUAUUAAGUUAAUAUAACAGAGUCCUUGCCUGUAGGAAGCCCUCAAGAGACUACAAAGUCACCAUAAAAUUUCACGCAAUUUAUAUAGCAAAGCAGAUACAAAGUUCAUUGGGAACUGAGGUAGGCAUUUACUUAGUUAAUUGUUCUCUUCUAAAAGAAUAAUAUAACUUAUUUCCUCAAGAGACAAAGGGUUAUAUUGUGAGAAACUCCUGAGCUAAUUCUGAGGCUAUGUGUUUAUAUUUCCAGGGGUUAUGAGGCUCCAGACCUUAGAGAAAUCUCUUUAUUAUGAAACCGAAGACUGGGCAUAUCUGGCCCCAGGAGAGAUUCACUUACUUGCUAAAGGCCAGCUAUAUCUUCAAGGAGAUCCUCUCCAGGGGGAAGAACAGAUAAAAGGGGAAGUGGAGGAAAGCUGUACCUGUCCUUUCUGAGGCUUUUACCACAUCCCACUGAAAGUGCUGGAAAGCUCUUCUGUGCAUCUCUUCCUUCUUUCCUUCAGUAAAUACUCGCUAUAUGCCAUAAUGCCUGAAUUCCUCUCUCCUGUGAUUAUAACUGUCUUUGUUGAUUUUUUUUUUUUGGUAUUCCACUGCAAUCUCAAGGAAAAGAAUAUUAAAUUUUCCAACAAUUCAUGUCAAAAGGUAGUUGAAUAAUUCUGCAAAAGGGAGCAAGGCAUAAAUAUGUUUGUUUUUAAAAAGGGAAACAAGCGUUAACUUAGGGAAGGAUAAUUGAAAAUGUAUGGCUUCUGUCCCUUAAAAAAAGGGCCUCUUUGCAUGCAAACCACUGGUUUCACUGUCCUUAAGUCUUGUUUACAGUAGGUUUUUUAAGAUUGGUGAUUUAAGAACAACGAACAUUUUCAUGGAAUUGUAUAAAACCCCAUACUACAUAUUCCAAAAUACACCAAAUGGCUACUUGGAUGAGUGAUCUCAAAAACCAUACAUAAUGCAUGAAUAGUAGUAGAAUAUAUCUUAGGUAUUUUGAUUUAUGCUGUUCAAGCUGGGAACAGUGAUAGAGUGGUUCUGUAUUGUGUCACUGCGCGUUACCUAGCUUCCUGAGCUUUAGACUGUAAGAGCCCACUGUAGGGGGUGUUGUCUGGAUUACAUGCUGCAGUUUAGAGCAUCAAGGUAGGUUUUCAGUAACUGUUUGAAAAAUUGUGGUGAAUUGAUGUUUUAUCACCCUUGAAAUGCAGAGUGUACUUCUCUCCAGGAAAGUAACUGUGAGCCAGAAGAAUAUAAGUGAUGACCUUUGAAGGUGUUCACUUGGGGAAGUGGGUGUGGUGGUGUGGGCUGCCAACUGCAGACAGGAAAUGUAGGUGUAGACUGUUUGGAUUCCAUGAUGCCGAAUCAUUUAGCCACAGAAUAACCAAAUGUUCCCAGUAAAGUCUGCAUUUUUACAUAGGAGCCCACACUGGGAUGUUUCUUUAAAGCACGUAUG
This 1721-nucleotide long non-coding RNA is filed under the name Felis catus (domestic cat). Its description in RNAcentral is "lncRNA (ENSFCAG00000044354.2)". Lineage: Eukaryota; Metazoa; Chordata; Mammalia; Carnivora; Felidae. The record is from RNAcentral.